Unclassified non-coding RNA from Panthera pardus (leopard), 201 nucleotides. Lineage: Eukaryota; Metazoa; Chordata; Mammalia; Carnivora; Felidae. The record is from Ensembl.
CCCGCAUGUCUCAUACCCACGGUCGUAAGUGAAGGUGAUUAGAACAGGACCUUAAUAAAUUGGCAGCCAGCCGACUGAAUCCUUAAAAAACAGCCACAAAGAAAAUCCACACCGACAGAAACACUCCAGGGACAAUUCAGAAACACAAAAUAUAUUUUGAAGGAAGGGUUACGGUCCUUUUCGAAGUCUGGAAAUAGUUGU